AUUGAACGCUAGCGGGAUGCUUUACACAUGCAAGUCGAACGGCAGCGCGGACUUCGGUCUGGCGGCGAGUGGCGAACGGGUGAGUAAUGUAUCGGAACGUGCCCAGUAGCGGGGGAUAACUACGCGAAAGCGUAGCUAAUACCGCAUACGCCCUACGGGGGAAAGCAGGGGAUCGUAAGACCUUGCACUAUUGGAGCGGCCGAUAUCGGAUUAGCUAGUUGGUGAGGUAACGGCUCACCAAGGCGACGAUCCGUAGCUGGUUUGAGAGGACGACCAGCCACACUGGGACUGAGACACGGCCCAGACUCCUACGGGAGGCAGCAGUGGGGAAUUUUGGACAAUGGGGGCAACCCUGAUCCAGCCAUCCCGCGUGGGCGAUGAAGGCCUUCGGGUUGUAAAGCACUUUUGUCAGGAAAGAAACGUCGCGGGCUAAUACCCCGUUGAACUGACGGUACCUGCAGAAUAAGCACCGGCUAACUACGUG
RNAcentral lists this ribosomal RNA (484 nucleotides) under uncultured bacterium. RNAcentral describes it as "partial 16S ribosomal RNA". It matches the Rfam family "Bacterial small subunit ribosomal RNA", at positions 30 to 507 of the family's 1533-position model. The record is from RNAcentral.